GACGAACGCUGGCGGCGUGCUUAACACAUGCAAGUCGAACGGAAAGGCCCUGCUUUUGUGGGGUGCUCGAGUGGCGAACGGGUGAGUAACACGUGAGUAACCUGCCCUUGACUUUGGGAUAACUUCAGGAAACUGGGGCUAAUACCGGAUAGGAGCUCCUGCUGCAUGGUGGGGGUUGGAAAGUUUCGGCGGUUGGGGAUGGACUCGCGGCUUAUCAGCUUGUUGGUGGGGUAGUGGCUUACCAAGGCUUUGACGGGUAGCCGGCCUGAGAGGGUGACCGGCCACAUUGGGCCUGAGAUACGGCCCAGACUCCUACGGGAGGCAGCAGUGGGGAAUAUUGCACUAUGGGCGGAAGCCUGAUGCAGCAACGCCGCGUGCGGGAUGAUGGCCUUCGGGUUGUAUACCGCUUUCGCCUGUGACGAAGCGUGAGUGACGGUAAUGGGUAAAGAAGCACCGGCUAACUACGUG
Molecule: ribosomal RNA, 468 nt
Filed under: uncultured bacterium
Lineage: Bacteria
Description: partial 16S ribosomal RNA
Rfam family: Bacterial small subunit ribosomal RNA
Source: RNAcentral